RNAcentral lists this ribosomal RNA (348 nucleotides) under Bacteroides fragilis str. 3998T(B)3. RNAcentral describes it as "bacterial SSU rRNA". It matches the Rfam family "Bacterial small subunit ribosomal RNA", at positions 1152 to 1508 of the family's 1533-position model. Lineage: Bacteria; Pseudomonadati; Bacteroidota; Bacteroidia; Bacteroidales; Bacteroidaceae. The record is from RNAcentral.
CCGUCGUAAGAUGUGAGGAAGGUGGGGAUGACGUCAAAUCAGCACGGCCCUUACGUCCGGGGCUACACACGUGUUACAAUGGGGGGUACAGAAGGCAGCUAGCGGGGGACCGUAUGCUAAUCCCAAAAGCCUCUCUCAGUUCGGAUCGAAGUCUGCAACCCGACUUCGUGAAGCUGGAUUCGCUAGUAAUCGCGCAUCAGCCACGGCGCGGUGAAUACGUUCCCGGGCCUUGUACACACCGCCCGUCAAGCCAUGGGAGCCGGGGGUACCUGAAGUACGUAACCGCAAGGAUCGUCCUAGGGUAAAACUGGUGACUGGGGCUAAGUCGUAACAAGGUAGCCGUACCGG